Molecule: ribosomal RNA, 17 nt
Filed under: Armillaria sp. CMW 10583
Lineage: Eukaryota; Fungi; Basidiomycota; Agaricomycetes; Agaricales; Physalacriaceae
Also listed under: 4 other names
Source: RNAcentral
UCCACGGCCAUAGGACU